Long non-coding RNA from Rana temporaria (common frog), 459 nucleotides. RefSeq lists it as uncharacterized. The transcript is spliced from 4 exons. The record is from RefSeq and is a predicted model, not a curated record. NCBI's taxonomy places the organism in Eukaryota, Metazoa, Chordata, Amphibia, Anura, Ranidae.
AGUAGAGGGGAGACGUUGCUGGAAGUGGCAGCAGAGGAGCUGUCGGCUUGAGCAGAGAACUCUGCAUAGAAUCGGAAAAUGCUUUGUUAAGAUUGCGAGGGGAAAAAUUCACAAACUCGAUUCUUAACGAUUAAUCGUGCAGCUCUACAGCACAGCAUCUUUGUUUGCCCUUCCCCUCUCCAUCAGCACUGGGGUCCCAUUAUCUGAGUGAGAGACAAGUGAAGCAUUGGAAUAUAAGUCAAUACCAGAUUGCAAAGAGUUUUCCUCCUGUGAAGUCUGGAGAUCAUAUGACCAUCACAUUGCCUCCACCUCCCUCCCUGACAGAAUAGAGAAAUCAAAACAAGGUUGUAAAAGUCAGAAGCAAGAUCAGUGAACUGAAGGACACAAGGAUCUCUACAAGGACGUCAUGAUGGACAAUCAGCCGCCCCUCACAUCACCGGAUGGAUUCAGUAAUGGGAA